RNAcentral lists this ribosomal RNA (421 nucleotides) under uncultured bacterium. RNAcentral's name for it is "bacterial SSU rRNA". It matches the Rfam family "Bacterial small subunit ribosomal RNA", at positions 361 to 774 of the family's 1533-position model. The record is from RNAcentral.
AUCUUCCGCAAUGGGCGAAAGCCUGACGGAGCAACGCCGCGUGAGUGUUGAAGGGUUUCGGCUCGUAAAACUCUGCUAUUAGGGAAGAACAAAUGUGUAAGUAACUGUGCACAUCUUGCCGGUACCUAAUCAGAAAGCCACGGCUAACUACGUGCCAGCAGCCGCGGUAAUACGUAGGUGGCAAGCGUUAACCGGAAUUAAUGGGCGUAAAGCGCGCGUAGGCGGUUUCUUAAGUCUGGUGUGAAAGCCCACGGCUCAACCGUAGAGGGUCAUUGGAAUCUGGGAAACUUGAGUGCAGAAGAGGAAAGUGGAAUUCCAUGUGUAGCGGUGAAAUGCGCAGAGAUAUGGAGGAACACCAGUGGCGAAGGCGACUUUCUGGUCUGUAACUGACGCUGAUGUGCGAAAGCGUGGGGAUCAAACA